Molecule: unclassified non-coding RNA, 232 nt
Filed under: Phylloporus sp.
Lineage: Eukaryota; Fungi; Basidiomycota; Agaricomycetes; Boletales; Boletaceae
Description: partial contains small subunit ribosomal RNA, internal transcribed spacer 1, and 5.8S ribosomal RNA
Rfam family: Eukaryotic small subunit ribosomal RNA (bases 1-46)
Source: RNAcentral
AAGUCGUAACAAGGUUUCCGUAGGUGAACCUGCGGAAGGAUCAUUAACAAAUCGUUGGAGUGGUUGAGGAAGUUGCUCUUUGGAGGAACUUGUCAACAACAUUUGUUCUCGUGACCUGGUUUAUGUUAUGUCAGGUCAUGUUAACAAACAUUUGCGCUUGUCAUGUUUGUCAGAUAUGUAAGAUUAUGAAGGGAAAUAUAGACAACUUUUAACAAUGGAUCUCUUGGCUCUU